Molecule: long non-coding RNA, 599 nt
Organism: Micropterus dolomieu (smallmouth bass)
Lineage: Eukaryota; Metazoa; Chordata; Actinopteri; Centrarchiformes; Centrarchidae
Exons: 3
Source: RefSeq, a predicted model, not a curated record
UGCGCCGGUGUCUCACACGAAAGGCAACUUGGAAGUUUGAUACAAAGUUACGGGUUUGCCUCGCUGCGCUAUGCAGCUGCUGGAGGGAUGAGAUCAUUCAGGCAGCCUCCCCCCUGGCUCUCUCUCUCUCCCUGCCCCGGAGUCUCGCGAGAAGGCUUCGUGGGGGAAGCAAACGUUUCCGUGGCAACAGGGCUCACCUGUAGUGGGUUGACGGUGAGGAGGGGAAAACGAAGAGCUCUCACUCUGCGUUGAAUAACCAGACUGACUAUGCAACUAUGCAAGCUAAUGCUAGGAAGCACAUUUUUUUUCUUUUACUUACUCUGAAGGUCCAGUUACAUUCCUUUUCAGAGCGGCCAUCUCCAGGUAAUCAUCCAGAGAUCCCAACAAGUUGUCCACGUCUCUUUUGUGAGCCUGCAGCACCAGUUCUGCCGCACGGGUGAAGGACUGCAGGAAAGAGGAAGUUACAAACAAACAUACAGGUGGAUGUUUGUGGCAAAUCUGAAGAGAUUCCCUCGAGGCGCUGCUGAGAUAUUGCGCUUACAAGAAUAGGACAGACAGAUGGACAACCCAAAAACAUAAUAAAUGAAAAAAACACAAAA